This is a long non-coding RNA of Scaptodrosophila lebanonensis, 470 nucleotides long. RefSeq lists it as uncharacterized. The record is from RefSeq and is a predicted model, not a curated record. The transcript is spliced from 2 exons. Lineage: Eukaryota; Metazoa; Arthropoda; Insecta; Diptera; Drosophilidae.
AAUUGAUUCCUUACUACGAAAUUUAUUUCAACAAUGUAACCAAAUAGAAAAUUCUACAGAGCUAUGGGCAGCCCUAUUUUAAAACAACUUGGACAAAUUCUGAAUGUCGCCAUGGCGUUCACAAAUCUAACAAAAUUACCGACCUUUAACAAGUUUGUGUGUAUGUUCUCUAGCAGAAGAAAUAGUCCGAUGCCGAAAAUACCAGCGUUACCCCUAAAAGGUCCACGAAAUUAUAAGUACCUUCGUUAUUUGAAGCGGAAACUGGAAAAGGAUCAUAGAUCCAAUACGCAUCGGCCUGUAAGGAGACUACGUAGAAAAAUACGAAAACCCAAAAGAAAGGAAGAAAAGCCAUUUAAAUAGACCAAAUUUAAAUAUUUCGCAGAUGGGCAGCACUUUAAACGACUUGGCAGCAUUCGCACCCACACAGCUGUUUAAUAAUCUUCAUUAAAAUACUCAUUUAUAGUAUCGAA